This 773-nucleotide long non-coding RNA is filed under the name Scleropages formosus (Asian bonytongue). RNAcentral describes it as "lncRNA (ENSSFOG00015027435.1)". The record is from RNAcentral. Lineage: Eukaryota; Metazoa; Chordata; Actinopteri; Osteoglossiformes; Osteoglossidae.
UGCAGCCCAGCAAGAGCCGCCUGGCGCCUAUUCGACAUCAGAACGCUGUGGGGUCGGUCGUGUGGGGGGGGGCUGUUGCAGAAAUCUACGGUGGGUCGAAUGAUGAGGAUCGAUGCCGCAACGUACACGGUGCAAACGCCGUCGAGUAAAAUUCAACCCAGAAAACACACCGACUCCACACGGACUGAGCCGGACUCCAACCCACUUCCGAAUCCACAGUCCGGGGGGGGCUGUGAAACACCAGUGUUACCGGCUGCACCGUUUGUGUUUUAUGGCUCUUUGCAAUAAAAGAAGAAAUCGAAGAAGGGUCCAAAUCCCACCUCCUGCCGUAGUACCCUUGAUUGAGAGCGGCCCUGGCCAAGGUAAACCGGUGGUGAGACGAGGCGACGCGAGAACCGCUCUGGAUCCGUCAUCGCUCCGUUCGGCCGAUCCGGGCGCAGGGAGACGACUGCGGGGACUCGGGGAUGGAGGCAGAGCGAUUCUUUUUUCCACCAAGUGAAAAAGCAUCUUUAUUUUGUUCUUGUGAUGCCGCAGGAACAAGAUCCCGGUGGACUCUCUUCCUUCUGAAUUGACAUGGACGUGGAAGAGGGACAUUAUAGGGGGUCACAUUAGUUUUGAUAGCUUGACUACCUUAGAAUGGCCUCCCAUCAUCUCCACAACAUCAAAUUUCAUGGGCCCGAUCCAGUUUCACCACUUGUGUGUACGCACAGUUGAACCGCACCUGUUUUCCCACCCGCUUUCACACAGAUUCCUUAAAUUAUUGCCAGUUCCAC